This 492-nucleotide ribosomal RNA is filed under the name uncultured bacterium. RNAcentral's name for it is "partial 16S ribosomal RNA". It matches the Rfam family "Bacterial small subunit ribosomal RNA", at positions 29 to 507 of the family's 1533-position model. The record is from RNAcentral.
AGUGAACGCUGGCGGUAGGCCUAACACAUGCAAGUCGAACGGCAGCACAGUAAGAGCUUGCUCUUACGGGUGGCGAGUGGCGGACGGGUGAGGAAUACAUCGGAAUCUACUUUUUCGUGGGGGAUAACGUAGGGAAACUUACGCUAAUACCGCAUACGACCUACGGGUGAAAGCAGGGGAUCUUCGGACCUUGCGCGAUUGAAUGAGCUGAUGUCGGAUUAGCUAGUUGGCGGGGUAAAGGCCCACCAAGGCGACGAUCCGUAGCUGGUCUGAGAGGAUGAUCAGCCACACUGGAACUGAGACACGGCCCAGACUCCUACGGGAGGCAGCAGUGGGGAAUAUUGGACAAUGGGCGCAAGCCUGAUCCAGCCAUACCGCGUGGGUGAAGAAGGCCUUCGGGUUGUAAAGCCCUUUUGUUGGGAAAGAAAAGCAGCAGGUUAAUACCCCGCUGUUCUGACGGUACCCAAAGAAUAAGCACCGGCUAACUUCGUG